RNAcentral lists this ribosomal RNA (301 nucleotides) under uncultured bacterium. RNAcentral's name for it is "partial 16S ribosomal RNA". It matches the Rfam family "Bacterial small subunit ribosomal RNA", at positions 509 to 807 of the family's 1533-position model. The record is from RNAcentral.
CAGCCGCCGCGGUAAUACGUAGGUGGCAAGCGUUGUCCGGAAUUAUUGGGCGUAAAGGGCUCGCAGGCGGUUUCUUAAGUCUGAUGUGAAAGCCCCCGGCUCAACCGGGGAGGGUCAUUGGAAACUGGGAAACCUGAGUGCAGAAGAGGAGAGUGGAAUUCCACGUGUAGCGGUGAAAUGCGUAGAGAUGUGGAGGAACACCAGUGGCGAAGGCGACUCUCUGGUCUGUAACUGACGCUGAGGAGCGAAAGCGUGGGGAGCGAACAGGAUUAGAUACCCGAGUAGUCCCUGUCUCUUAUAC